RNAcentral lists this long non-coding RNA (423 nucleotides) under Nicotiana benthamiana. RNAcentral's name for it is "long non-coding RNA (NBEN_LNC030018)". Lineage: Eukaryota; Viridiplantae; Streptophyta; Magnoliopsida; Solanales; Solanaceae. The record is from RNAcentral.
ACGUUUUCCUUGACUUGACAGAUUCAUUCAAUUGAACCCACACUCAAAGGAGGACCACAAGCUCGGGGCUCGACGAAACGGAAAGUUUCAGCAUGUUGAAACUUCUUGGGGUUAGCAGUGAAAGAAAGAGCCCGGCAUUCAUUUCUUCAUGAAUAUUCAUAGCUGAGUCUACUAAAAGAGGGACCAGCCUCGUCGUGGUGAUUAGAGGACACCUCUGAUCGUUCACCUCUAAUGUGACACGUUCCCUCCCAGUUAUAUGAUCAACGGGAUCAGUCGGCUAGAGAGCGGGGCUAUUCUUCUUCCGUGGAGACAAAGUCGUCCCUUCUACUGACCGAACCCUCAGUUCGGGGGCCUUCGUCAACAUGUUACGAAGCUCCAGUCUUCGGUGGGUCACCAUUACUUGACUUAGAAAGGCGAACAUCU